This 260-nucleotide ribosomal RNA is filed under the name uncultured bacterium. Its description in RNAcentral is "partial 16S ribosomal RNA". It matches the Rfam family "Bacterial small subunit ribosomal RNA", at positions 333 to 589 of the family's 1533-position model. The record is from RNAcentral.
GCAGUCCUACGGGGCGCAGCAGUGAGGAAUAUUGGUCAAUGGGCGGAAGCCUGAACCAGCCACGUCGCGUGAGGGAAUAAGGCCCUACGGGUCGUAAACCUCUUUUGCCGGGGAGCAAGGGCCGGGACGCGUCCCGGCCCGGAGAGUACCCGGAGAAAAAGCAUCGGCUAACUCCGUGCCAGCAGCCGCGGUAGUACGGAGGAUGCGAGCGUUAUCCGGAUUUAUUGGGUUUAAAGGGUGCGUAGGCGGGCUUUUCAGUC